UCCGUUUCAACAAAAGCUCAGCUGUCUACAGAUUGGAGAAAGAUUUUGCUCUAUUGUUAUCAUGUCAAAAAAAUAAAAAUAUAAAAAAUCUCCAAAAACACAAAUAGGUCCAGCUUUGGAUUAACAGAAAUGUGAAUAAAUUAAACAUGAUAAACUGUUAAAUCACGCUAAAAAAUACGCGUUACAGUUGACGGAAACGUCCUGGUGAUUUUCUAUCAGGAUUUCUUCUGUUUGUUUCCUGACAUUUUUCUUACAGAGUAGCAUAACGGAGCACUGUGACUUCCACUCCCACGAACCAGUCCACAGACACACACUGUUCAAACUGAGAGCACAUCAAAGGCAACACGCUUACUUGAAAGACCAGGCAGACCUGCGAAGCAUUACUGUGUACAUGGCAAGGAGUCAUUACGUUGCCUAUUCUGUCUGUGCAACAAACAACACUGAUCCCUUACUUUUAAACUGACUGGAUGCUGAUCCUGUGUUUGACUCUUGUUUGGCUCGAGGGAGACGGUCAUCUUCAUCAUCCGAACUUCAACGGUGCGGCGUGGUUCUUUUCAGAUUCCAGACAAGUUUCAUUACGAUAACGCUUUGAUGUCUGUGAGAAAGAAAUAUAAAUGAAUAAUCUGCAACGCAGUGGCCUUUGAUCACUCAGAUGCGUAGUGUUCGAAUUAAACUGUCUGCAAGUACCGUAUGCCUUGUUACUGUGAGACAUGAGUCAUCCCCAAUUUUGCUCUCUUUCCAUGUCUCAAUUGUGCCACUUAAUGAAAAGACAAAACACA
Xiphophorus couchianus (Monterrey platyfish) is the source of this 779-nucleotide long non-coding RNA. RefSeq lists it as uncharacterized. The record is from RefSeq and is a predicted model, not a curated record. Lineage: Eukaryota; Metazoa; Chordata; Actinopteri; Cyprinodontiformes; Poeciliidae. The transcript is spliced from 2 exons.